CUGGCGGCAGGCCUAACACAUGCAAGUCGAGCGGUAGCACAGAGAGCUUGCUCUCGGGUGACGAGCGGCGGACGGGUGAGUAAUGUCUGGGAAACUGCCUGAUGGAGGGGGAUAACUACUGGAAACGGUAGCUAAUACCGCAUAAUGUCGCAAGACCAAAGUGGGGGACCUUCGGGCCUCAUGCCAUCAGAUGUGCCCAGAUGGGAUUAGCUAGUAGGUGGGGUAACGGCUCACCUAGGCGACGAUCCCUAGCUGGUCUGAGAGGAUGACCAGCCACACUGGAACUGAGACACGGUCCAGACUCCUACGGGAGGCAGCAGUGGGGAAUAUUGCACAAUGGGCGCAAGCCUGAUGCAGCCAUGCCGCGUGUGUGAAGAAGGCCUUCGGGUUGUAAAGCACUUUCAGCGGGGAGGAAGGCGGUGAGGUUAAUAACCUCACCGAUUGACGUUACCCGCAGAAGAAGCACCGGCUAACUCCGUGCCAGCAGCCGCGGUAAUACGGAGGGUGCAAGCGUUAAUCGGAAUUACUGGGCGUAAAGCGCACGCAGGCGGUCUGUCAAGUCGGAUGUGAAAUCCCCGGGCUCAACCUGGGAACUGCAUUCGAAACUGGCAGGCUAGAGUCUUGUAGAGGGGGGUAGAAUUCCAGGUGUAGCGGUGGAAAUGCGUAGAGAAUCUGGAGGAAUACCGGUGGCGAAGGUGCCCCCCUGGACAAAGACUGACGCUCAGGUGCGAAAGCGUGGGGAGCAAACAGGAUUAGAUACCCUGGUAGUCCACGCCGUAAACGAUGUCGAUUUGGAGGUUGUGCCCUUGAGGCGUGGCUUCCGGAGCUAACGCGUUAAAUCGACCGCCUGGGGAGUACGGCCGCAAGGUUAAAACUCAAAUGAAUUGACGGGGGCCCGCACAAGCGGUGGAGCAUGUGGUUUAAUUCGAUGCAACGCGAAGAACCUUACCUGGUCUUGACAUCCACAGAACUUUCCAGAGAUGGAUUGGUGCCUUCGGGAACUGUGAGACAGGUGCUGCAUGGCUGUCGUCAGCUCGUGUUGUGAAAUGUUGGGUUAAGUCCCGCAACGAGCGCAACCCUUAUCCUUUGUUGCCAGCGGUCCGGCCGGGAACUCAAAGGAGACUGCCAGUGAUAAACUGGAGGAAGGUGGGGAUGACGUCAAGUCAUCAUGGCCCUUACGACCAGGGCUACACACGUGCUACAAUGGCAUAUACAAAGAGAAGCGACCUCGCGAGAGCAAGCGGACCUCAUAAAGUAUGUCGUAGUCCGGAUUGGAGUCUGCAACUCGACUCCAUGAAGUCGGAAUCGCUAGUAAUCGUAGAUCAGAAUGCUACGGUGAAUACGUUCCCGGGCCUUGUACACACCGCCCGUCACACCAUGGGAGUGGGUUGCAAAAGAAGUAGGUAGCUUAACCUUCGGGAGGGCGCUUACCACUUUGUGAUUCAUGACUGGGGUGAA
RNAcentral lists this ribosomal RNA (1458 nucleotides) under uncultured organism. RNAcentral's name for it is "16S ribosomal RNA". It matches the Rfam family "Bacterial small subunit ribosomal RNA". The record is from RNAcentral.